Molecule: ribosomal RNA, 301 nt
Filed under: uncultured bacterium
Lineage: Bacteria
Description: partial 16S ribosomal RNA
Rfam family: Bacterial small subunit ribosomal RNA
Source: RNAcentral
CAGCCGCCACGGGAAUACGAAGGUCCCGAGCGUUGUUCGGAAUUACUGGGCGUAAAGCGUGCGUAGGCGGUUUGUUAAGUCUGUUGUGAAAUCCCCGGGCUCAACCUGGGAAUGGCAAUGGAUACUGGCAAGCUAGAGUGUGUCAGAGGAUGGUGGAAAUCCCGGUGUAGCGGUGAAAUGCGUAGAGAUCGGGAGGAACAUCAGUGGCGAAGGCGGCCAUCUGGGACAACACUGACGCUGAGGCACGAAAGCGUGGGGAGCAAACAGGAUUAGAUACCCGGGUAGUCCCUGUCUCUUAUAC